UACGUAGGGUGCGAGCGUUGCCCGGAUUUAUUGGGCGUAAAGGGCGCGUAGGCGGCCACGCACGUCCGUUGUGAAAUCGCCCGGCUCAACUGGGCGGGGUCGGCGGAUACGGCGUGGCUGGAGCAAGCUAGGGGGCAAUGGAAUUCCCGGUGUAGUGGUGGAAUGCGUAGAUAUCGGGAGGAACACCCGUGGCGAAGGCGGCUCUCUGGGACGGUACUGACGCUGAGACGCGAAAGCGUGGGGAGCGAACAGG
RNAcentral lists this ribosomal RNA (253 nucleotides) under uncultured bacterium. RNAcentral's name for it is "partial 16S ribosomal RNA". It matches the Rfam family "Bacterial small subunit ribosomal RNA", at positions 524 to 776 of the family's 1533-position model. The record is from RNAcentral.